Molecule: long non-coding RNA, 2284 nt
Organism: Xenopus laevis (African clawed frog)
Lineage: Eukaryota; Metazoa; Chordata; Amphibia; Anura; Pipidae
Exons: 3
Source: RefSeq, a predicted model, not a curated record
GACUCAAAGCAGCACUACUUUGGGGGUUUACUGGUAUAUUUAGAUGGACCUUUCUGAUCAGGCUUAUUUAGUUUUUACUUUUCCUUCUCCUUUAAAGGUGAACCACCCCUUUAACAUUUGUAGAAAAAACAAACGAUCUUUGGUCACAAGGAGAUCGUUAUUGUAAUUUGUAUGGUCACCUUAAAGGGAACCAGUCACCUUAUGAAAUAAUUCCAAAUUCUAUUUUAUGAUGUUAGUCAAGCUAAAUAAAAAAUUAUUUAAAUAAAAUUAUUUAAAUCUUGUUGUUUUUUUUUCUUGGAAUUCACAUUCGCAGCAAGUAAGGAGCAGCUAUUUUUUUUUUAACACUGUUAUUAAGGCAUGCCGAAAUAUUGUUUAUCUGGCAGAAUGGGGCACAUAAUGCCCAUGCUCUGGCUACACAAUUAGAUGUUUAGGAGGGAGAAUGUGGGGAGUGCAAUGACAUCUAGGAAGUGCAGAAUGGGAAGUAAUUUCCUGCUGCCUCUAUGCCUAAGGCAUAGAGUUUCACAGGUAUGGAUGUUUUAAUAAAAAAAGAAUUUGGUUUUCAUGUUUAAUUUAAAAAGGACAUUUAUUAGACAGAUUUUUAUGUCUUAUGUCCCCUUUAAGAAACGACAUUUGGAAGUUGGGGAUUUUAUAUGCAAUAUGUAAUGUCCAACUGCUGUAGAUGAUAAUCAAUAUAAAGAUCUCACAUCCUGGGAUUCUUGGUGAAGGAGAAUACAAUGGGACUCAUUUAUCAACACUGGGCAAAUUUGCCCAUGGGCAGUUACCUAUAGCAACCAAUUAGCGAUAAGCUUUUUAAAGCCAGCUGCGAGUAGAACAAUGAAUGCAGCAAUCUGGUUGCCAUGGGUUACUGUCCAUGGGCAAAUUUGCACAGUGUUUAUAAAUGACCCCCAAUGACUUUUUCAACAAGAAAUGUAGUAAUGCACACAACAUAAACUCGUUUACAGCAAUUAAAUAGAUAUAUUGAUAGAUCAAAGGAAAAUAAACUGCAGUGAAGGUAUUUAUGUAUCCACAUGAGAUCUGAUUAUAUAUACAAAAUAUUUUUUGUUACAUCUAUAGCUAGUUAUGUAUUGUGAUGUGAGCAAGCAGGUGCUUAACCUGGACUUGUAAAUAUUUCAAAGCCUGAAUAAUUCAUGAAUGUAUUCAUCUUAUAUACGCCAAAGAGCUGGCUGUGAAAGCUGCUUGCAAUGAAGAAACGACCUGUAUCAAAACAGGCUACACAUCACCCAAGUAAGGACGGGUGCAGGAGAGAGACGGUCAACCUUUCAGUGUCCUCCAGUAAAUGCAUAGCAACUCUUCCUAAUGUACAAUCAGCACAACAGGACAUGAUGGGAAAAAUCAAGAGACCACAGACUGAUGCUCUUACUAGCAAACUACACAGAAAAGAAAAUUCUUAGUCCAUUAAGUCCAUUCUAUACAAUGGUGAAUCCUUCCAGGUGAAAAAGACCAGCAGCAGUGAAGAUGACUAUGGCACAAACUCCUUUUUUAGGAGCUACUCCAGCCAGCGGAGGCAAGAGAGACUACAAUAAACCACUGCCCAGAGAGCUAUACCCAUGAAGGGAAAGAAGCCAAAGGAGGUACAGAUCUGUUGGAUUGGGUCAUAACUGAACAUGGACUCAGCCCUCCCUGCAUGGAAGCAGUUUGUCCGCUUCUCUUCAUAAAAAAAGUAUCCUUAUGGCACCCAGCGGACAUGUGACAUACUUUCACUUCUGCAAACCCAACAGGCCUGAAUUACGAAGAGACUGCACUGGAAGAAGGGCACAAUGGCCUCAUCAAGACUUGUCCAAGGAGGAGCUGGCAUCCAGUUUUCAUGAAGGACAUCAUCACCUUGUGGUUCAUGGUGUCUCAUGUAGACAGACAAACCAGAAAUUACCCCAGGCAGCUGAGAGAAUGCAGCUUUAUGUCUACUACCAGCAGACAGGCAGAGAUACAGCAAAGUUUAAGCGUGAGGAAGAAGAAUCCAGUUGUCAGUUCAGCUCUCUUAGGCUGCAAGAGGAUGAAGGUCGUGGGCCAGCCUAAUCAGACCUGAAAUAACUGUAAUUUUACAGAAUAAAAGAAAUUUGUAAGAAAGAAACUUUCCCAUAUAUAUAUAUAUAUAUAUAUAUUCAGCAAGGAAGAUCCGCACUCUCAGGUCUUAAGUAAAAAUGUAAAAAAUUUUUAUUGUUACAUACGAGACUGACGUUUCGGCCUCCUCCGAGGCCUUUCUCAAAGUGUCCAAUCAAUUACAAGAAAGCCUUAUAUACAAGUGUUGGCGGGAGAAUAGACAAAU